This 510-nucleotide ribosomal RNA is filed under the name uncultured bacterium. RNAcentral describes it as "partial 16S ribosomal RNA". It matches the Rfam family "Bacterial small subunit ribosomal RNA", at positions 355 to 858 of the family's 1533-position model. The record is from RNAcentral.
UGGGGAAUUUUGGACAAUGGGCGCAAGCCUGAUCCAGCCAUGCCGCGUGCGGGAAGAAGGCCUUCGGGUUGUAAACCGCUUUUGUCAGGGAAGAAAUCUUCUGAGUUAAUACCUCGGGAGGAUGACGGUACCUGAAGAAUAAGCACCGGCUAACUACGUGCCAGCAGCCGCGGUAAUACGUAGGGUGCAAGCGUUAAUCGGAAUUACUGGGCGUAAAGCGUGCGCAGGCGGUUUUGUAAGACAGAGGUGAAAUCCCCGGGCUCAACCUGGGAACUGCCUUUGUGACUGCAAGGCUUGAGUGCGGCAGAGGGGGAUGGAAUUCCGCGUGUAGCAGUGAAAUGCGUAGAUAUGCGGAGGAACACCGAUGGCGAAGGCAAUCCCCUGGGCCUGCACUGACGCUCAUGCACGAAAGCGUGGGGAGCAAACAGGAUUAGAUACCCUGGUAGUCCACGCCCUAAACGAUGUCGACUGGUUGUUGGGAAGGUUCCUUCUCAGUAACGUAGCUAACGC